AAUCUAUGUUGAGGGCAUUUCUGUAAAAGGUCCUUGAACUGUUCCUAUGUCUCAAAUAAUGAUUCUAGAUCCAUCUGAACAUAUGGAGAGAUUUCAUUGUGAAGCUU
This is a small nucleolar RNA of Dioscorea cayenensis subsp. rotundata (Guinea yam), 107 nucleotides long. The record is from RefSeq and is a predicted model, not a curated record. NCBI's taxonomy places the organism in Eukaryota, Viridiplantae, Streptophyta, Magnoliopsida, Dioscoreales, Dioscoreaceae.